AAAUUUUGUGCGAAAUAUGACAACAGAAUUCAAAUAAUGAAAGUAGGCUGUCCGACAGAAGUAAAAAGAAAGCCUGUGCAAGCUAAAGAACAAUGAAAAAUGGCCGCAUUUUAUAUGACAUAAUUUGAUGCUUGACAGUCCGUGCACCCUCGGUAAAAGCUGUAUAGUUUAAUUAGUUUUGCAUUCUUAGCGCCAUCUGAAUUUCGAGGAGUAGAAGCUUUUUAGUCCAAGCUUUCAAGACCCUGUUAUAUCAGUACAAUCAAAAAAAGCUAGUUAGCGCCCUCUACGUUUAAUAACGAAAUGCAAUUAAGCACUUGCUGACGUCAAUCAGCGGAUUGCCUCAAAGACUUGAAAGAAAACACAGCUCAGACUGCCUGGACGAAUUCUUUCUGUAUUCCAGACAGAUGACUUACAAAAUUGGCUCUAACUCAGAGAGUUAUUGAGCUACAAAAAUGGUUCAUAUAUAAAAUCAUUCUCUAAAAAACUCUUCAACUUUCGAUGAAAGUUCCAUUGAGUUAGGACUGCUCUAAUUCAUUUAAUACUAGGGCUCAGUUCCAAUGGUACUCAAAAGUGUGCUCGAGAGGUACCAUGGCUCACAAAAUGGACUCUAACUUAGAAAGUUGAUGA
Anthonomus grandis grandis is the source of this 627-nucleotide long non-coding RNA. RefSeq lists it as uncharacterized. The record is from RefSeq and is a predicted model, not a curated record. Lineage: Eukaryota; Metazoa; Arthropoda; Insecta; Coleoptera; Curculionidae. The transcript has 3 exons.